This is a long non-coding RNA of Cyprinodon tularosa, 374 nucleotides long. RefSeq lists it as uncharacterized. The transcript is spliced from 3 exons. The record is from RefSeq and is a predicted model, not a curated record. Lineage: Eukaryota; Metazoa; Chordata; Actinopteri; Cyprinodontiformes; Cyprinodontidae.
AUUCAUUGACAGUUGUAAAGGAAGAGGAGUUUUUGCCACACACCCCAUUGAACCAGGGGACUUCGUCUUGGAGUAUUGGGGUAAACUCCUGACACAGGAAGAAUGCCGGUCAAGACAAUACUCAAAGAUUGAAAGCACAUUUCUCUUUGACUUUGAGUAUCGGAACAAUCGCCUGUGCCUGGAUGCAUCUGAAGAAGAUGGAUCUCUCGGACGACUAGUCAAUGACAACCACAAAAAUCCAAAUUGUGCCAUGAAAAAAAUCAUAGUUGACGACAAGCCACUCUUGUGCCUUUUUUCUCUUAAGAAAAUAGGAAUAGGAGAUGAAACUGAUUAUGACUAUGGUAAAGCAAAAUGGCCUUGGCGUACUGAGGUGA